This 1003-nucleotide ribosomal RNA is filed under the name uncultured Actinomycetes bacterium. RNAcentral describes it as "bacterial SSU rRNA". It matches the Rfam family "Bacterial small subunit ribosomal RNA", at positions 9 to 1020 of the family's 1533-position model. The record is from RNAcentral. Lineage: Bacteria; Bacillati; Actinomycetota; Actinomycetes.
GAGUUUGAUCCUGGCUCAGGACGAACGCUGGCGGUGCGCCUUAUGCAUGCAAGUUGAGCGAACUUUUUGGUAGUUUACUACUAGAAAUGACUGAGCGGCGAACGGGUGAGUAACGCGUGAGCAAUCUACCUUAGUUACUGGGAUAGCCCGAGGAAACUCGGAUUAAUACCGGAUAUUCUUAUUUUUUCACAUGAAGUUUUAAGGAAAGGUCAGCCGAACUAAGAUGAGCUCGCGUUCUAUCAGCUAGUUGGUGGGGUAAAAGCCUACCAAGGCUACGACGGAUAGCUGGUCUGAGAGGACGAUCAGCCACACUGGGACUGAGACACGGCCCAGACUCCUACGGGAGGCUGCAGCAGGGAAUAUUGUGCAAUGAGCGAAAGCUUGACACAGCGACACCGCGUGUGGGAUGACGGUUCUAGGAUUGUAAACCACUUUCAGGAGGGAAGAAAAUGACGGUACCUCCACAAGAAGACCCGGCCAACUAUGUGCCAGCAGCCGCGGUAAUACAUAGGGGUCAAGCGUUGUCCGGAUUUAUUGGGCGUAAAGAGCUCGUAGGCGGUUCAACAAGUCGGUCGUAAAAGUUUAGGGCUCAACCCUAAAAUGUCGAUCGAUACUGUUGUGACUAGGAUACGGUAGAGGUGAAUGGAAUUCCGAGUGUAGCGGUGAAAUGCGUAGAUAUUCGGAGGAACACCAAUUGCGAAGGCAGUUCACUGGACCGUGAUCGACGCUGAGGAGCGAAACUAGGGGGAGCAAACAGGAUUAGAUACCCUGGUAGUCCUAGCUGUAAACGAUGGAUACUAGAUGUAGGAACUGGAUUGACGGUUUCUGUAUCGUAGCUAACGCGUUAAGUAUCCCGCCUGGGGAGUACGGUCGCAAGACUAAAACUCAAAGGAAUUGACGGGACCCCGCACAAGCGGCGGACAUGCGGCUUAAUUCGAUGAUACCCGUAGAACCUUACCUGGACUUGACAUAUAGGGAAAACUGGAGAAACCAGUGUGCGUAC